UGAACGCUGGCGGUAGGCUUAACACAUGCAAGUCGAACGGCAGCACAGGAGAGCUUGCUCUCUGGGUGGCGAGUGGCAGACGGGUGAGGAAUGCAUCGGAAUCUACUCUUUCGUGGGGGAUAACGUAGGGAAACUUACGCUAAUACCGCAUACGACCUACGGGUGAAAGCCGGGGACCUUCGGGCCUGGCGCGAAAGAAUGAGCCGAUGCCCGAUUAGCUAGUUGGCGGGGUAAGAGCCCACCAAGGCGACGAUCGGUAGCUGGUCUGAGAGGAUGAUCAGCCACACUGGAACUGAGACACGGUCCAGACUCCUACGGGAGGCAGCAGUGGGGAAUAUUGGACAAUGGGCGCAAGCCUGAUCCAGCCAUACCGCGUGGGUGAAGAAGGCCUUCGGGUUGUAAAGCCCUUUUGUUGGGAAAGAAAAGCAGUCGGUUAAUACCCGAUUGUUCUGACGUACCCAAAGAAUAAGCACCGUAACA
Molecule: ribosomal RNA, 480 nt
Filed under: Xanthomonas sp. oral taxon 037
Lineage: Bacteria; Pseudomonadati; Pseudomonadota; Gammaproteobacteria; Lysobacterales; Lysobacteraceae
Description: bacterial SSU rRNA
Rfam family: Bacterial small subunit ribosomal RNA
Source: RNAcentral